GAUGAACGCUGGCGGCGUGCCUAAUACAUGCGAGUCGAGCGAACGGACGAGGAGCUUGCUCCUUUGACGUUAGCGGCGGACGGGUGAGUAACACGUGGAUAACCUACCUAUAAGACUGGGAUAACUUCGGGAAACCGGAGCUAAUACCGGAUAAUAUAUUGAACCGCAUGGUUCAAUAGUGAAAGACGGUUUUGCUGUCACUUAUAGAUGGAUCCGCGCCGCAUUAGCUAGUUGGUAAGGUAACGGCUUACCAAGGCAACGAUGCGUAGCCGACCUGAGAGGGUGAUCGGCCACACUGGAACUGAGACACGGUCCAGACUCCUACGGGAGGCAGCAGUAGGGAAUCUUCCGCAAUGGGCGAAAGCCUGACGGAGCAACGCCGCGUGAGUGAUGAAGGUCUUCGGAUCGUAAAACUCUGUUAUUAGGGAAGAACAAAUGUGUAAGUAACUAUGCACGUCUUGACGGUACCUAAUCAGAAAGCCACGGCUAACUACGUG
Molecule: ribosomal RNA, 497 nt
Filed under: uncultured bacterium
Lineage: Bacteria
Description: partial 16S ribosomal RNA
Rfam family: Bacterial small subunit ribosomal RNA
Source: RNAcentral